Molecule: ribosomal RNA, 821 nt
Filed under: uncultured Actinomycetes bacterium
Lineage: Bacteria; Bacillati; Actinomycetota; Actinomycetes
Description: bacterial SSU rRNA
Rfam family: Bacterial small subunit ribosomal RNA
Source: RNAcentral
GCAGUCGAACGCGAAAGCCUCCUUCGGGGGGCAAGUAGAGUGGCGCACGGGUGAGUAACACGUAGGUAAUCUACCUUUGGAUUGGGAAUAACCACCGGAAACGGUGGCUAAUACCGAAUAAUGCAGCGGCACCUAAUGGUGACAGUUGUUAAAGCGGGGGAUCGCAAGACCUCGCGUCUGAAGAGGAGCCUGCGGCAGAUUAGCUAGUUGGUAAGGUAACGGCUUACCAAGGCGAUGAUCUGUAGCCGGCCUGAGAGGGCGGUCGGCCACACUGACACUGACAUACGGGUCAGACUCCUACGGGAGGCAGCAGUCGGGAAUUUUGGGCAAUGGGCGAAAGCCUGACCCAGCAACGCCGCGUGAAGGAUGAAAUCCCUCGGGAUGUAAACUUCGCAAGAACGGGAAGAAUAAGUAAGAGUUAACAUCUCUUACGAUGACGGUACUGUUUGUAAGCUCCGGCUAACUCCGUGCCAGCAGCCGCGGUAAUACGGGGGGAGCAAGCGUUGUUCGGAUUUACUGGGCGUAAAGGGCGCGUAGGCGGCCACCGCAAGUCGACUGUGAAAUCUCCGGGCUUAACCCGGAAAGGUCAGCCGAUACUGCGGGGCUAGAGUGCAGAAGGGGCAACUGGAAUUCUCGGUGUAGCGGUGAAAUGCGUAGAUAUCGAGAGGAACACCUGCGGCGAAGGCGGGUUGCUGGGCUGACACUGACGCUGAGGCGCGAAAGCUAGGGGAGCGAACGGGAUUAGAUACCCCGGUAGUCCUAGCCUUAAACGAUGAAUGCUUGGUGUCUGGGGUUUUAUAGUCCCCGGGUGCCGUCGCUAA